UGAGGAAUUUUGCGCAAUGGGGGAAACCCUGACGCAGCAACGCCGCGUGAGUGAAGAAGGCCUUUGGGUCGUAAAGCUCUGUCAAUUGGGAAGAAGUUACAACAUAUUAAUAGUGUGUUGUAUUGACGGUACCAAUGGAGGAAGCGCCGGCUAACUCCGUGCCAGCAGCCGCGGUAACACGGGGGGCGCAAGCGUUAUUCGGAAUUAUUGGGCGUAAAGGGCGCGUAGGCGGUCUUAUCGGUCAGAUGUGAAAGCCCAGGGCUCAACCCUGGACGUGCAUUUGAAACAGUAAGACUUGAGUACGGGAGAGGAAAGCGGAAUUCCUGGUGUAGAGGUGAAAUUCGUAGAUAUCAGGAGGAACACCGAUGGCGAAGGCAGCUUUCUGGACCGAUACUGACGCUGAGGCGCGAAGGCGUGGGUAGCGAACA
RNAcentral lists this ribosomal RNA (428 nucleotides) under uncultured bacterium. Its description in RNAcentral is "bacterial SSU rRNA". It matches the Rfam family "Bacterial small subunit ribosomal RNA", at positions 355 to 774 of the family's 1533-position model. The record is from RNAcentral.